RNAcentral lists this ribosomal RNA (465 nucleotides) under uncultured bacterium. Its description in RNAcentral is "partial 16S ribosomal RNA". It matches the Rfam family "Bacterial small subunit ribosomal RNA", at positions 338 to 795 of the family's 1533-position model. The record is from RNAcentral.
CCUACGGGGUGCUGCAGUGGGGAAUAUUGCGCAAUGGGCGAAAGCCUGACGCAGCGACGCCGCGUGAGGGAUGAAGGUCUUCGGAUCGUAAACCUCUGUCAGCAGGGACGAACGGUCACUGUGCUAAUCAGCAGUGAAUUGACGGUACCUGCAAAUGAAGCACCGGCUAACUCCGUGCCAGCAGCCGCGGUAAUACGGAGGGUGCGAGCGUUAAUCGGAAUUACUGGGCGUAAAGCGCUCGUAGGCGGUAUGUCAAGUCAAGGGUGAAAGCCCCGCGCUCAACGUGGGAACUGCCUUUGAAACUGGCAAACUGGAGUGUGUGAGAGGAUAGGGGAAUGCCAGGUGUAGGAGUGAAAUCCGUAGAUAUCUGGAGGAACAUCAGUGGCGAAGGCGACUAUCUGGCACAUAACUGACGCUGAGGAGCGAAAGCGUGGGUAGCAAACAGGAUUAGAUACCCGAGUAGUC